GAUGAACGCUGGCGGCGUGCCUAAUACAUGCAAGUCGAGCGAAUGGAAUAAGAGCUUGCUCUUAUGAAGUUAGCGGCGGACGGGUGAGUAACACGUGGGUAACCUGCCCAUAAGACUGGGAUAACUCCGGGAAACCGGGGCUAAUACCGGAUAACAUUUUGAACCGCAUGGUUCGAAAUUGAAAGGCGGCUUCGGCUGUCACUUAUGGAUGGACCCGCGUCGCAUUAGCUAGUUGGGGAGGGAACGGCUCACCAAGGCAACGAUGCGUAGCCGACCUGGGAGAGUGAUCGGCCACACUGGGACUGGGACACGGCCCAGACUCCUACGGGAGGCAGCAGUAGGGAAUCUUCCGCAAUGGCCGAAAGUCUGACGGAGCAACGCCGCGUGAGUGAUGAAGGCUUUCGGGUCGUAAAACUCUGUUGUUAGGGAAGAACAAGUGCUAGUUGAAUAAGCUGGCACCUUGACGGUACCUAACCAGAAAGCCACGGCUAACUACGUGCCAGCCGCCGCGGUAA
This 515-nucleotide ribosomal RNA is filed under the name uncultured bacterium. Its description in RNAcentral is "partial 16S ribosomal RNA". It matches the Rfam family "Bacterial small subunit ribosomal RNA", at positions 28 to 523 of the family's 1533-position model. The record is from RNAcentral.